This 653-nucleotide transfer RNA is filed under the name uncultured Prochlorococcus sp. RNAcentral's name for it is "partial 16S-23S ribosomal RNA intergenic spacer". The stretch from base 232 to 304 matches the Rfam family "tRNA". Lineage: Bacteria; Bacillati; Cyanobacteriota; Cyanophyceae; Synechococcales; Prochlorococcaceae. The record is from RNAcentral.
CAUGAUGUCUAUAGUUUUUAUUAUUAGGCCAUGAUCCUGUCACCUUAGGUCGAUCGGUACCUCAGAUUAUUUGUCUGCAUUCAUUUUUGGAUUGACAUUAAUUUCAGUUCCUAAACUUGUCUAGGUCACACCCAGCAAGGGUACUCCUGGGCCAUUAGCUCAGGUGGUUAGAGCGCACCCCUGAUAAGGGUGAGGUCCCUGGUUCAAGUCCAGGAUGGCCCAUUCGAUGUUGGGGGUAUAGCUCAGUUGGUAGAGCGCCUGCUUUGCAAGCAGGAUGUCAGCGGUUCGAGUCCGCUUACCUCCACUGAUCGACUCCUGAUAACGAAAUCACAGGAGAUUUUGUUGUUUAUGUGACUUAGACGUUGUUUUAACUGUUUGAACCUAGCUUCCUAUCAUUCUUUAUUAAUUUUGGAUUUGAUCCAAAUUAAAGUUGACAGGAUGCUGGGCUCACCGAUUCCCUUAAUGGAAAUCGGCAAAGUUCAGUAGAACCUUGACAACUGCAUAGGUGAGUUUGGAUAGAAUAAAGCAUCUCAUAGAUGCACUAUUUUCUUAUUCAUAUCGGUUUGAUGAUUAUUUGUUAAUCAAAUAAUUCAUUGCGAUAGAUGAUAAGGAAUGGUGUUUAAUUCUUGAGUCAAGAGCCAAUUUAUUUAAAA